GCAUAUCAAUAAGCGGAGGAAAAGAAACCAACAGGGAUUGCCUCAGUAACGGCGAGUGAAGCGGCAACAGCUCAAAUUUGAAAUCUGGCGGCCUCUGGGCCGUCCGAGUUGUAAUUUGAAGAGGAUGCUUUUGGCGAGGCGCCUUCCGAGUGCCCUGGAACGGGACGCCACAGAGGGUGAGAGCCCCGUAUGGUUGGACGCCGAGCCUCUGUAAAGCUCCUUCGACGAGUCGAGUAGUUUGGGAAUGCUGCUCAAAAUGGGAGGUAAACCCCUUCUAAAGCUAAAUACUGGCCAGAGACCGAUAGCGCACAAGUAGAGUGAUCGAAAGAUGAAAAGCACUUUGAAAAGAGAGUUAAAUAGCACGUGAAAUUGUUGAAAGGGAAGCGCUUGCGACCAGACUUGUGCCCGUCGAAUCAGCCGCCGCUCGCCGGCGGCGCACUUCGGCGGGCUCAGGCCAGCAUCAGUUCGCUGCAGGGGGAGAAAGGCGGCGGGAAUGUGGCUCUUCGGAGUGUUAUAGCCCGCCGCGCAAUACCCCUCGGCGGACUGAGGACCGCGCAUCUGCAAGGAUGCUGGCGUAAUGGUCGUCAGCGACCCGUCUUGAAACACGGACCAAGGAGUCGUCCUAAUAUGCGAGUGUUCGGGUGUAAAACCCCUGCGCGUAAUGAAAGUGAACGGAGGUGAGAGCUUCGGCGCAUCAUCGACCGAUCCUGAUGUUCUCGGAUGGAUUUGAGUAAGAGCAUAUUGGGCCGGACCCGAAAGAAGGUGAACUAUGCCUGUAUAGGGUAAAGCCAGAGGAAACUCUGGUGGAGGCUCGCAGCGGUUCUGACGUGCAAAUCGAUCGUCAAAUAUGGGCAUGGGGGCGAAAGACUAAUCGAACCUUCUAGUAGCUGGUUUCCGCCGA
This 901-nucleotide ribosomal RNA is filed under the name Scedosporium apiospermum. RNAcentral's name for it is "LSU rRNA". It matches the Rfam family "Eukaryotic large subunit ribosomal RNA", at positions 38 to 964 of the family's 3401-position model. The record is from RNAcentral. Lineage: Eukaryota; Fungi; Ascomycota; Sordariomycetes; Microascales; Microascaceae.